GAAGUCAGCGAGUUUCUUCAACCUUGGCCGGAAGGCCUGGGUAAUCUUGUGAAACUUCAUCGUGCUGGGGAUAGAGCAUUGCAACUAUUGUUCUUAAACGAGGAAUCCCUAGUAAGCGCGAGUCAUUAGCUCGCGUUGAUUACGUCCCUGCCCUUUGUACACACCGCCCGUCGCUACUACCGAUUGAAUGGCUUAGUGAGACUUUCGGAUGUGUUUGGAGCCGCUGGCAACAGUGACACCUUGCGCAGAAGUUAUUCAAACUUGGGUCAUUUAGAGGAAGUAAAAGUCGUAACAAGGUUUCCGUAGGUGAACCUGCGGAAGGAUCAUUA
RNAcentral lists this ribosomal RNA (329 nucleotides) under uncultured Paraglomus. Its description in RNAcentral is "SSU rRNA". It matches the Rfam family "Eukaryotic small subunit ribosomal RNA", at positions 1508 to 1831 of the family's 1831-position model. Lineage: Eukaryota; Fungi; Glomeromycota; Glomeromycetes; Paraglomerales; Paraglomeraceae. The record is from RNAcentral.